Panicum virgatum (switchgrass) is the source of this 526-nucleotide long non-coding RNA. RefSeq lists it as uncharacterized. The transcript has 2 exons. Lineage: Eukaryota; Viridiplantae; Streptophyta; Magnoliopsida; Poales; Poaceae. The record is from RefSeq and is a predicted model, not a curated record.
CGCUUGGGAACCUACGACCUGGUCGUGGCCUAUCCUCGUCCCAAAAAUAGCAGAAGCAUUCUCUAAGCUGCUGGUCCGUGUGCAUAUGCUUCGUGCUUGCAGGGCCAGCGAAUGCUGAAGGGCAUCUGGCCUCUUCUACGUGGAGUGGGAGAUUUGUCCGAUGGAAAGCCUUGGGUGGAUUCGGUCAGAGAAGAUGAAGACGAUGCCCUCAGGCUGCAGCUGCCGUUCUCUUUCAUGGAAGGGUCAUGGAGGUACUCUUCAGGGGAACAUUCUAGCUUCGUCUUUGGGCCAAAUUGCAGCGAAAUGAAGUUCAGAUUCAGUGGCUGACGCAGGGCGCACAUAAUCUUGAGGUUGCGGCUCUGCAAAUCUUCAAUUCGUUUGGUUGGCCGGCCCCGGCCAGGAUUCCUUUUGUUUAGCGUUUUGAGUUACCGUAUGAACGGUGGUUCCUGCUUUUGAGUCUUGUGUGGUGAACUAAGUCUGUGUGCUUUGUGUAAGACGCUUUCCGUUGGAGUUGUGGUGUGUGGGU